AACGAACGCUGGCGGCAUGCCUAACACAUGCAAGUCGAACGAAGUCUUCGGACUUAGUGGCGCACGGGUGCGUAACGCGUGGGAAUCUGCCCUUGGGUACGGAAUAACUCAGAGAAAUUUGUGCUAAUACCGUAUAAUGUCUUCGGACCAAAGAUUUAUCGCCCAAGGAUGAGCCCGCGUAAGAUUAGCUAGUUGGUGGGUAAAAGCCUACCAAGGCGACGAUCUUUAGCUGGUCUGAGAGGAUGAUCAGCCACACUGGGACUGAGACACGGCCCAGACUCCUACGGGAGGCAGCAGUGGGGAAUAUUGGACAAUGGGCGAAAGCCUGAUCCAGCAAUGCCGCGUGAGUGAUGAAGGCCCUAGGGUUGUAAAGCUCUUUUACCAGGGAUGAUAAUGACAGUACCUGGAGAAUAAGCUCCGGCUAACUCCGUG
This 432-nucleotide ribosomal RNA is filed under the name uncultured bacterium. RNAcentral's name for it is "partial 16S ribosomal RNA". It matches the Rfam family "Bacterial small subunit ribosomal RNA", at positions 29 to 507 of the family's 1533-position model. The record is from RNAcentral.